UGCGAGUCAUUGUAGUAAUACAAGGCAGACGGCUCAGUAACGCGUAGUCAACCUAACCUAUGGACGGGAAUAACCUCGGGAAACUGAGUAUAAUGCCCGAUAGAACAUUAUACCUGGAAUGGUUUAUGUUCCAAAUGAUUUAUCGCCGUAGGAUGGGACUGCGGCCUAUCAGUUUGUUGGUGAGGUAAUGGCCCACCAAGACUAUUACAGGUACGGGCUCUGAGAGGAGUAGCCCGGAGAUGGGUACUGAGACACGGACCCAGGCCCUAUGGGGCGCAGCAGGCGAGAAAACUUUGCAAUGUGCGAAAGCACGACAAGGUUAAUCCGAGUGGUUUCUGCUAAAGGAACCUUUUGUCGGUCCUAGAAACACCGAUGAAUAAGGGGUGGGCAAGUUCUGGUGUCAGCCGCCGCGGUAAAACCAGCACCUCAAGUGGUCAGGAUGAUUAUUGGGCCUAAAGCAUCCGUAGCCGGCUCUGUAAGUUUUCGGUUAAAUCUGUACGCUUAACGUACAGGCUGCCGGGAAUACUGCAGAGCUAGGGAGUGGGAGAGGUAGACGGUACUCGGCAGGAAGGGGUAAAAUCCUUUGAUCUAUUGAUGACCACCUGUGGCGAAGGCGGUCUACCAGAACACGUCCGACGGUGAGGGAUGAAAGCUGGGGGAGCAAACCGGAUUAGAUACCCGGGUAGUCCCAGCUGUAAACUAUGCAAACUCAGUGAUGCAUUGGCUUGUGGCCAAUGCAGUGCUGCAGGGAAGCCGUUAAGUUUGCCGCCUGGGAAGUACGUACGCAAGUAUGAAACUCAAAUGAAUUG
Molecule: ribosomal RNA, 809 nt
Filed under: uncultured crenarchaeote
Lineage: Archaea; Thermoproteati; Thermoproteota
Description: bacterial SSU rRNA
Rfam family: Archaeal small subunit ribosomal RNA
Source: RNAcentral